GGAGAGGUACCGAAGUUUGGUCAUAACGGGGCGGUCCCGAAAACCGCUGUUCUUUUUUAAGGACACGUGGGUUCGAAUCCCACCCUCUCCGCAA
This 94-nucleotide transfer RNA is filed under the name Candidatus Nealsonbacteria bacterium CG11_big_fil_rev_8_21_14_0_20_35_11. RNAcentral's name for it is "tRNA-Ser". It matches the Rfam family "tRNA". Rfam says of the family: Transfer RNA (tRNA) molecules are approximately 80 nucleotides in length. Their secondary structure includes four short double-helical elements and three loops (D, anti-codon, and T loops). Lineage: Bacteria; Candidatus Nealsoniibacteriota. The record is from RNAcentral.